CUCCCCAUAGUGAAGUGGUUUAUCACGCCUGGCUGUAAUGUUCAAAGCCUCCAGGAAUCCCUCGUUCGAUUCGCGGUGGGGAGA
This is a non-coding RNA of Ophiobolus disseminans, 84 nucleotides long. The record is from the annotation of a GenBank genome assembly. NCBI's taxonomy places the organism in Eukaryota, Fungi, Ascomycota, Dothideomycetes, Pleosporales, Phaeosphaeriaceae.